GAUGAAGAACGUAGCGAAAUGCGAUAAGUAAUGUGAAUUGCAGAAUUCAGUGAAUCAUCGAAUCUUUGAACGCACAUUGCGCCCCCUGGUAUUCCGGGGGGCAUGCCUGUCCGAGCGUCAUUGCUGCCCUCAAGCACGGCUUGUGUGUUGGGCCUCCGUCCUCCUCCCGGGGGACGGGCCCGAAAGGCAGCGGCGGCACCGCGUCCGGUCCUCGAGCGUAUGGGGCUUCGUCACCCGCUCUUGUAGGCCCGGCCGGCGCUUGCCGACACAUCAAUCUUUUUUCCAGGUUGACCUCGGAUCAGGUAGGGAUACCCGCUGAACUUAAGCGUAUCAAUAAGCGGAGGA
This 345-nucleotide unclassified non-coding RNA is filed under the name soil metagenome. Its description in RNAcentral is "partial contains 5.8S ribosomal RNA, internal transcribed spacer 2, and large subunit ribosomal RNA". The stretch from base 1 to 120 matches the Rfam family "5.8S ribosomal RNA", at positions 35 to 154 of the family's 154-position model. The record is from RNAcentral.